This is a long non-coding RNA of Bactrocera latifrons, 891 nucleotides long. RefSeq lists it as uncharacterized. The transcript is spliced from 3 exons. NCBI's taxonomy places the organism in Eukaryota, Metazoa, Arthropoda, Insecta, Diptera, Tephritidae. The record is from RefSeq and is a predicted model, not a curated record.
UUGGUGAACGUGUCGCGUGUACGCGUCGAUGGCGUAAAUUUAAUAAAAAUAAUUUUGAGGUAUAUUAAUAAAAAUACAACCAGUGUAAAAAAUAAAAUAAAAAAACAAAACUGAGACAUACCGGGCUGCAUGCACUCUAAUUCAAACGUCUAUACUAUAAUGUGUGUACGAAUGAUGGCAAAACAUUUGUAUAAAUAAAUUUCGUAACGUAGACGUAAAUACUUCUCGGUCGUUCGCGAAGUCGUAGUUCACAAGUUUUCACAUUGCAACAAAUCGGCCCAUAGUUACAUUUUGGUUAAUUUAGUGAAACAAUUGUGGGAAAAUAUAUAUUUAUUGAGAAAUAUAUAGCAAAAAGGUAGCAGAUAAAAAUCAUUUCGAGUUAAUAGCAACGAAAACGAAAAAACAUGCAGUUUAAUUUGUGAAAACAAUUGGGAUCGCUUGAACAAAGGGAGAAAAUCACAGUGCAUACGUUUAGAAUAUAAAUAAAAGCCAGCUAAACGAUUACAAAAAAUCGUUAAUACAAAAAAAAAAAAAAUAAUAAAGUAAAAAUAAAAACUGUGACGGUAAAAUUUCAAAUGAUUAUUUGCAUAGCUUCAUCCGACGUUGACCAAUUUGUGGGUUUAUCUAGUGCACGCUGUACGAAUUGUGGACAGGCCAACACCAAUGUUUGUUCUUCGGCUUUGGUUUCAAUUUAGUGUUAAAGAAGUAAACAAAAAAUAAAUAAUGAUCAUAAUAAUGUUGUAAAUACAUACAUAUAUGUUAAUAUAUAUGAAAGCUUACUAAUAUUGAGCUAUUAGUAGUAAUCCAAAUGAAAAUGUAUCUUAACGCAAAACCCUUUAUCUAAUAGAUUAAAACGACAACAGAAAAGUUUUUAAAUUAUUUUAAUUGUAA